UUUCGUUCUUUUUCUCUUUUUAGACGAGUACUUUUUUUCCUUGUUAUGGCUUUUGCCACAGGAUUUUCCAUAACAACGUUUGAAUGAGGUUCGACCCUUAGUUUGUUUUUUUGUGCUCUCAAGAGUUCCUCUAAGUUUUUUUCCUUUUUUCCCGCCUCAAUAAAAUCGUUAUUUAAUAAUUAAUGAAAACAUUAAUUCCGCAAAUUCAUGAAUUAAUAUAGACUGCACCAUCAUAGCAAAAUUAUGUGUAUGAAGUACAUAUGUCAGUUUAGCUAUCGAAUGUUACCGUUAUUCAUUAAUGCAUCUCGAAUAAUUAAAUAACUCGAUCUAAAGAAUAUUAACAAGUUUCAAGCUUGUGAAUGUUUAAUAAAC
This 372-nucleotide long non-coding RNA is filed under the name Salvia miltiorrhiza (redroot sage). Its description in RNAcentral is "long non-coding RNA (SMIL_LNC014041)". Lineage: Eukaryota; Viridiplantae; Streptophyta; Magnoliopsida; Lamiales; Lamiaceae. The record is from RNAcentral.